Long non-coding RNA from Drosophila simulans, 1757 nucleotides. RefSeq lists it as uncharacterized. NCBI's taxonomy places the organism in Eukaryota, Metazoa, Arthropoda, Insecta, Diptera, Drosophilidae. The transcript is spliced from 2 exons. The record is from RefSeq and is a predicted model, not a curated record.
GCUUGUGUUCUUUGGCUGUAUAGAUGGGCUGUAUGCAUGGGCCCUUCUGUAGCAAGGACAUGGAAACUUGAACAGACAUGAGUCUGCGAGUGCUCUUCCGCGGGUGGAUGAGUUUCGAGACCCCACGGACGAUGGGGUCCCCAGAAUUAGAACUUUGUUCCCAGGUCGUCGAAGAGCUUUUUGAAGUCGUCAGUAGAGCAUUGAAAUUAUGGUGGAAUAGAUGCACGCAAUGGCUAUUUUACCAAGGUUUUGGAUUUAAUUCAAGUACCGCCAUUUAAGACAAGACAAUAGUUUGAAGUACGACCUAGAGCAAGUGUUGGUUGGGCUACGUUAAUAAUUGUGAUAAUUUUGAGACAAGGCGUAUCAUGGACACCAUCAUUUGGAAUGGAAUGCCAAUCUGAGAAACUAGGAUUGAUAGUCUUUCCUUGGAUUGGUCAUUGAACAUUUGCUGGGAUGUGGCAUUUUUGCGUGGACUUGCAAUAUGCUAAAAAUAAAAAAACGAUAAAACCUUAAUAAGUGGCUGUGUGGUUUUCGCAACAGUUAACACGUUAAACAUCCCUUACACAUCCAAGCCUUGUUUCAGACCACAUCUAAUAUGGGCAUAUGGGAAUAUUUUGGCAACAAUUUUUGGUGUUUUUAAAUGCUUGGCACCGAUAUAUAUCAACGUUUUUUAAGGGACUUCAACUUGAAACUCGUUGCCGACAGUGUUUUAAUAUCGUGGACUUCCUUGCUAUUAGCUGACGGUAACAAUUCAACAACUACUAGGUUGGCGAACUUGGUUUUGUGGAAGCGGCUUCUAGGUCUAGGUCUAUUAACAAAUUGCACCGCCAUUCAAGGGAGCAUUGCUGUUGGUAUUAUGGCUGAUAGUUUCUUUCAAACUCUGACAACGAAGAAUUAAGUGCCUGACUAAUUUUCUGUAGUUUUCGUACCUCAGAGGCGCUGAUGUUAAACUCAUCAUCGGAGUCCGAAGGACCAGGCAUAAUACACUGGUCCGAAAAUUAAGAAAACAAAUUUGGCUAACGACGCUCUCACUGACUGUAUCGAGUGCCAUCUCUCUCCUAAGAAUAUAAAGUGAAGUUAAUGUGCCUAAUCAUAGAGAGGAAUUGGCGAUAUUUUAAACAAAUUAAUUGAUUUUAAAUUUCUAGCCGAUUGAUAAGCCGUCGGUCGCUCUCAGACGGCGAGCACAUAUGUAAGGCGCAACGGAACAUGCAAAGCAAAUUAUGUUGGCAAAAAAGAGACGGGGACGAGCAAAAGGCGAGCAAAAUACCAAUAAGAGAACAAUAAGAGUCACGAUCUUUUUCGUGACUUUUAUUGGGUGCCAAUUUCUAAGCAAAUUGUAAUUAUUUUUGAAUUAAAUUCUAUAUGGAUUCAUUUUAUAAGAAACAUUUAUGCUAAAAGAUCAACCCCCCACCAUGUGGAUCAGGAAGUCUUUUUUUAAAUAAAAUUUAUUGGGAAACUAGAAGGUUAGUUUAUAUACAAUUAUACAUUAAGUGUUAUAUUUAUAAAUUUAAUUAAUUUUCUUAAGGUGGAAAAAAUUUACAUUUUUUAAAAGUACAAAGUAACGAAAAUUCUUAUUGCGAACCAAAUUUAUUUUUCCUUUUUUGUUAUAUUUUAAUCCUGUUAGAUAUAGAAUUAACCAACCUGUGCUGUGAUCUGAUCAAAACGUACUAAGUGUAUACUAAAUAAGAUUAAAUGUAAGUUAAAAAUAUUUUUUAACGUAUUAUAUUUUGCUACACGCCUUCUCAUGUUUUUUGUUU